RNAcentral lists this ribosomal RNA (408 nucleotides) under uncultured bacterium. Its description in RNAcentral is "bacterial SSU rRNA". It matches the Rfam family "Bacterial small subunit ribosomal RNA", at positions 509 to 916 of the family's 1533-position model. The record is from RNAcentral.
CAGCAGCCGCGGUAAUACGUAGGGUGCGAGCGUUAAUCGGAAUUACUGGGCGUAAAGCGUGCGCAGGCGGUUUUGUAAGCCAGAUGUGAAAUCCCCGGGCUUAACCUGGGAAUGGCAUUUGGGACUGCAAGGCUUGAGUGCGGCAGAGGAGACUGGAAUUCCCGGUGUAGCAGUGAAAUGCGUAGAUAUCGGGAGGAAUACCGAUGGCGAAGGCAGGUCUCUGGGCUGACACUGACGCUCAUGCACGAAAGCGUGGGGAGCAAACAGGAUUAGAUACCCUGGUAGUCCACGCCCUAAACGAUGUCGACUGGUUGUUGGGGGUUUGACACUCUCAGUAACGAAGCUAACGCGGGAAGUCGACCGCCUGGGGAGUACGGCCGCAAGGCUGAAACUCAAAGGAAUUGACGG